This 592-nucleotide long non-coding RNA is filed under the name Ursus maritimus (polar bear). Its description in RNAcentral is "lncRNA (ENSUMAG00000004855.1)". The record is from RNAcentral. Lineage: Eukaryota; Metazoa; Chordata; Mammalia; Carnivora; Ursidae.
CAGGGGUCUCCCAUGAAUUAAUCGCAUCCAGGGUCCAUUGAACUGGAAUUCUAAACUGCAAUCCACGCACAGCAGCCAUUUGGACCUCCGAAGAAACUGAGACUCUGCUUCUCUUUUCACUCCCCCUCCCCCCGCUUCAGAUAUCCUCUGAGGAUUGAUGGGUGUGUCAGAGAGCCACUGGUGUUUGUCCCAAGUAAUUGGAUUGACCCUUUGAAGAAAAGGGAUCAUCUGGAUUCAAGAUGUCAGUAGAAGAAGGGGACCUCAUGAAGACCUGAGGAGGAGACAGAGAUGUUGGAAGGGAACUGGAAUACUGUGGCCAGGGAGGCAUCUGGAGAAGGGAGAUUCAAGAAGUGUCUGGUGCUUCAGAGAAGACCCACAAAGCGAGAGAAGGACACUAAGGAGUGAUGCUUCCCUGGGCUUCCUCCCCACCUGCCAGGGGGUCCCAGAGCGCCUUCGUACAGGAGCUGAUGGUGGCCCCAAUUAUUGUCAGUGGACCUGGAUGAGAGGAUGUCUACUGGAUGUCUGUACAGAGUUGCUGCCCAGUGAAAACAAGAAGAGGAAACAGUUCUUGAGUUAUCACGAGAUAUCCUGA